RNAcentral lists this transfer RNA (75 nucleotides) under Bacillota bacterium. Its description in RNAcentral is "Firmicutes bacterium (anaerobic digester metagenome) tRNA-Ala". It matches the Rfam family "tRNA". Rfam says of the family: Transfer RNA (tRNA) molecules are approximately 80 nucleotides in length. The record is from RNAcentral. Lineage: Bacteria; Bacillati; Bacillota.
GGGCGUGUGGCUCAGUGGGAGAGCAUUCGGUUCGCAUCCGAAAGGUCGCGGGUUCGAAUCCCGCCACGUCCACCA